CUAACGUCAAUUCUAAUUCGAAUUACAAUGUGCGUCAAAUUCGCUUUACUGUCCAAACGACGUUAGCUUUUAAUUAGCUUUUAAUUCGUAUUAACAAAAACUUAUUUCUAGUGCGAAUUGACUAAUUUGAAUUAGUUAACUCGAAUCAAUUCGAAUUAAAAAAGAAGAGUGUGUGGACGCGAUAACAGGCCUCUACAUUAACAUUUUUUCUAACUUGUCCCUUUGGACAAGUGGCAAGAAAAUCAGCUUGUCCGAACUCUGAACUCACUUGUCCGAAUUCAUAACUGAAAAUCUAACAUAUUGAUGAUUUAUGGCACACACACAAUAAUAACACUUGGGCUUUGAUUGUACCUAAUAAAAGGAGCAUUUUGUAAUGUUAUAUGAAUACCACAUCAAAAUACAUUUCAUUAUUUCAGAAUGAAAGUUUUUUUGCAAGACUGUGUUCUCUGACUCAAUGUCACUAUCAUUUGUCAAUCAUUAAAUCAUCAUUUCUUCCCAAACCACUACGUUUCCCUAUGGACCUAUUCAUUCUUUAGUAGUGGUAUGGGUUAAACCAAGGAUGUAAAUACACCUGGCCACCUUGAACAUGUAUAUGAGUUAACCUUUUUAAUUUAUUUUGAUUUGUAUAUACAUAUAUGAUCAUGAAGUACAU
This 652-nucleotide long non-coding RNA is filed under the name Mytilus galloprovincialis (Mediterranean mussel). The record is from RNAcentral. Lineage: Eukaryota; Metazoa; Mollusca; Bivalvia; Mytilida; Mytilidae.